RNAcentral lists this non-coding RNA (22 nucleotides) under Rattus norvegicus (Norway rat). The record is from RNAcentral. Lineage: Eukaryota; Metazoa; Chordata; Mammalia; Rodentia; Muridae.
UGACUUUGUGCGUGCGUUCGUU